Molecule: long non-coding RNA, 851 nt
Filed under: Rattus norvegicus (Norway rat)
Lineage: Eukaryota; Metazoa; Chordata; Mammalia; Rodentia; Muridae
Description: long non-coding RNA NONRATT027197
Source: RNAcentral
GCAUCUGGCUAGCUCGCUCUAGAGCUUGUAGUCAUCACAUCAUCUUUCAUGCAUAUGGGUUUCUAAAACAUGCCAAAUGAUUACGUCACAAAGAAUAGGGCCUAAUAUACCGUAUACACUGGCGUUAGACCUUCUGUGGAGAUGGAGAGGACACAGUAAAGAAUCAGUCACUACCCUAGAAACACCAGUCCAGGAGGGUUUUUCUGAACUGGCACCUCCAACUACAAGGAGGUGGGAGGAGGCAGUGGCUUGGCAGGUAAACCAUGUCCCCUUGCUAUCCACAUCAACCACUGGGUAGCCCUUUCAAGUGGCCUGAAGCCUCUGUCCUGGAAGCUGGCUACAGUGCUGGCCUUCUGUUUCCCAGCCGCUGUGGGAAGGCAGUUCUGCUCUCAGGUCUUUUAUCCUGAUUCAUUCAUACCUUUCAGGAGUCGCUGUUGGCCUGGAAGACAAUGUUCCCCGGAAAGGAAACCCUUCCAGAACACACGUGGAAGAGAGCAAUGUAAAAUAACUCCUGUAGCUCACUGUACAUACCCAUGUCAGCUGGAGACAUCAGGCUUUGUGCUUGUUAAAGGGACAGAGGGCUGGGAAGAAUGAGGAAGGAAACGCUUGCUUUGGGGAUGGGCCAUAAAGGAAAGGUUCCUGUUCUUAACAGUGUCACCCACUUGCCUCCUACAGCCUCAUGUAAGCCAAUGGGCCACCAAACCUUUUCUCCUCUAUGUGGAUGGCUUUCAUUUUGGAAUCUGACUUUAAUAAAGCAAUUAGGUUGCUCAGUUUGAAAUAACCAUUGUUUCUGGUGAACUUUGAUUAUAUUUUGAAUAAACAAUUUUACUCAAAAAACAAGCCAAGUUCAG